Long non-coding RNA from Equus caballus (horse), 1559 nucleotides. Lineage: Eukaryota; Metazoa; Chordata; Mammalia; Perissodactyla; Equidae. The record is from Ensembl.
GUGGAGACAAUAGCUCCCGUGAACACAAGCAGACAAGGCUCAAUGCAGCUUUCUUCCCCUCCUCAAUGCAGCUUUGAUCCAGCCAGGGCUACCGGGAGGAAUUUCAGUCUAACUGGGGCAGCCCUACCUGGGAACCAUGCCUCACUCUGUGGGGGUGGCUCCUCCCAUUAUUGGGGAGGUUAUCGGGAGCCGGCAUGGAAAGUUCCAUAAACAUGGAGCACCAGCACCCCACCAGCGCCUCCACACACCAGCCUGAUUGAAUUUAGCACAUGUCUUUGCUAUAGGUACGAUUGGCGAUGACAGUUGUCAAGCUGUUGUGGCUCAGUCUCAAAGUCACUACCGUUUUGUGACGCAGGGGCUGGAACUGCCACUUCUCCCAGCUAACUGGCGCCAUGUCAGGUUCUGCCACUAGGAGGCGCCAGAGGGAGAUCGCAAAGCUGGAGGACCGAAAAGGGACUUUUAUCUUUCAGUGCCCACCAGUUUCAUCCUGGCAUCGAAGUUUGUUUCAGUCUCUAGGUUUUUUCAACACCCCUAGUACCAGCCUCUUAGUCAUUUCUCUGCCCCAUGAUUUACAAAACUCUCCUACUUUAAAAACAACCACCUCUGGGUUUUAAAAACAAUCCCAGCGCCCUGUGUACAAUUUCACAACAAAGGAGAGAAGCGUCAAGGGCUGGGACGAUAGCAGAGGGGUCUGCGCCUGCAUGAAGACCCAAUUUCUUCCCGGGUGGUGGAUAAAGCUAAGGAGAUAAAAAAUGACCUUUCACCUUCGGGAACAGUAAUCGCCACCUCUCUGGAGCCUGUGCGGAGGAUGAAUUAGGAAGAAACAAGGCCAGACCACCAGUUGGCAGACUGCUGAAGUCAAGAAGUCCUCUAAGCCAGAAGUGAUGAUGCCAUGAACCAGGCUUCUUACAGAGUUGUGAUGUGCCCCGGAACGCCUCAUCUCAGGGAAGGCAAGAGGAGUCUCUCUUAAGAGAGUAUGGCGUCUGCUUCUAGUGCUGUUUACGGCAAAGCUGAAAACUGUCUUUGAAAUUAACAACAGAUGUGCAUAAAUCUUCAGUUACCUAGCAACUAAUACAAGGAAGCACCAUGUGGACACAUCGCUAAGGUUUGCUGCAGGCAAGAUAAAGUGGUUGUUGAACAGAUGAGUAAGAUAUUCCUUCUCAUAAGUGAGCCUCAAGUGGAAAUUAGCCCAUGGAAAACUGGCUCCUGCACUGAGAUGGACCAAGAGGGACUCAUCGAGGAGGAGGCGCUUCUUACGGCAGGUGUCAGGGGAAACACUCUUGGCGCCUUGUUUGGGAGGUGGAAUUGGGCCUUGCGCAUGUGGCUUGUUCAGAUAAUAUGUGGAGAUCACUUACAUCCUCUUGGCGUCUUCUCUUGGAUCAAGCAACCAAAGUUAAAGGCCUAGAAACCCUCAAACCAUGUUCCCCAGAGCAUUACUCCUGUUGCAUCCUUCCCCAGCCACAUCUACCUGGAACCAAGACAUGGGACAGGACUGCUGCCACUAGCCCCUGUAGUUCCUUCCAGGGAAUUUUUAAAAGGUGCCGCUUCCUCAAGAUACA